AGACAACAAAAUGUUAAAUAUUAAUUUUGUCACCUUAGGUCGAUCGGUAUCUCACAUUCUUAAUUUAUUAAGAAUUUUUUUUCCUAAGUUUUUUCUAGGUCACACCCAUUUUUUUUCCUGGGCCAUUAGCUCAGGUGGUUAGAGCGCACCCCUGAUAAGGGUGAGGUCCCUGGUUCAAGUCCAGGAUGGCCCAUAUCUCUAUGUUGGGGGUAUAGCUCAGUUGGUAGAGCGCCUGCUUUGCAAGCAGGAUGUCAGCGGUUCGAGUCCGCUUACCUCCACUGAUUACCACCUCUUCCAUAUUUUUGAGAAGGGAAAUUUUUUGAGUUGUGAUCAAAUUCUGAACGAAUCUAGCUUCCUAAUAAACAUAUUAAGACGCUGGACUCAUUGAAUUAAUUUUCAUUGUUUUCAGAGAACCUUGACAACUGCAUAGAUUAUUUUUAAAGACAAUAAGCAUCUUUAAUGAUGCAGAUUUAUUAUUUGUGCGAAUGCAUUAAAUAACAAUUCUAUUAAGCUGAUGCUUCAAAUUUUUGAAGUUAUU
RNAcentral lists this transfer RNA (538 nucleotides) under uncultured cyanobacterium. Its description in RNAcentral is "partial 16S-23S intergenic spacer". The stretch from base 206 to 278 matches the Rfam family "tRNA". The record is from RNAcentral. Lineage: Bacteria; Bacillati; Cyanobacteriota.